Molecule: non-coding RNA, 2814 nt
Organism: Schizosaccharomyces pombe (fission yeast)
Lineage: Eukaryota; Fungi; Ascomycota; Schizosaccharomycetes; Schizosaccharomycetales; Schizosaccharomycetaceae
Source: the annotation of a GenBank genome assembly
UUAGUGCUGAAGAAAAGCGUUAACACUAUAAGCUAACUUUAUAAUUUCCCAGUUUCAACUAUCAGUGUAUCGAAUGAAUGAUUAUCUACAGAUGUUCUAUUUCAACACACUUAGUUCAAUUGGCAAUUGCGUUUCACCUAACAUAAUCAAUAUUAGCUUCAUCUAUGAUGUUGGUUACAUUCAGCAAUUCUUUUAUGGAUUUAUUGCCUUGUUCUUGAGUACUCGAAUAUAAAAUCCCGCAAAACCAUAAAAUGUGUUUAAGAAAUUUCAAGUAGAUUUAAUACGAAUUUAACAUUUUACUCUCGAGCAUUGUAAAAUCAUUGCUGAGUUAAUUUUUAGUGGAGCUUGUAAAUGAGGUGAAGAAGUUACUCCCUUGAAGUUUGCCAAAAAAAAUAAUGAUAAUGAUAAUAAUUAACACAUAGAACCAAGCUCGCGAGGACUCAAUCCGUGGACGUAUCAACUAAAGCUUUCAAUUUUUUUAGUACAAAAAUAUUGACUGCAAUAUUUUUACACCAUCACAGUCUUGAUUUAGCAAAAAGUUGCUUUUGAACUAGAAUGUUGGCUAAAUAAAUGUGUUGCCUGAUUGUACAUGAUAUAUUAUCAGCUUUGUCAAGGGAAAAACCGAGACCGAAGAAAGUUAAAACUGAGAGAAAUUCUAGAUAUGCUACUAUAAGUGCUCUUUGUCAUGAGAGAAACAUGAUUCUACGUGUCUGAUUCACGCAAAGGAUGCAUCAAUAUACCUUCUUUUAAUUACAGGAUGAUGCAUUUUUAAUUUGUUAUUGUUGUGAAUUCUAUGUCAACUGUUUGCUAAUAUAGGCGGCGCAGAGAUAUGAAAACCAAACCGUGACAAUACACCUAAGCUAAAAGGUCAACGCACGCCUAAACUAGCAGCUCAACUCAUGAUUGGACUAAUAAUUUAAAACUAAAACUAAAACCUAAACCUAUUUUACAAAUAAAACUCAUAAUUAGGCUAACAACCCUACCCAUCAACUAACGACUUGACGGUAUGCUAUUCCUUCUUUUUUUUAAAGCUUCACUACCAUCGAAAUAUAUAUAACAGUAGUAAAAUUGUAAACUUUUAUUUUUAUACCAUAGUAGUAUGGCUAUGAUUGGAAGGUUGUAGUGUCAGUCAAGUUGGAAAAACUGUUGGCACUUUUUUUCUGAAUCAAUGGAAUUCUUAUCAAACACAUGCAAACGUAUAAAGAAGACUUGAAUAGAUAAUCUUUGAAUUCAAACAAAUCCUAGUCAACUGAACAACGCAUCUACCUCAGCAGUCCUUGGGAAAUGUAUAAAUAGGCAAGCAUUAAACUUUUAUAUAUAAAACCAUCAAGAUCUCUAUUUUUAACUCGGUGGUUUCUUUCACAAGACUUACUUCAAGAACGACAACACAUCCUGACAGUUAAUUCAUUAAUACUAAUACUAUCGAGGAUUCUGUCAUCCAAGUGGAAUGAACAUGGGCAUCAAAGGAAUGUUUCCUCAAAGUGAGAACUAUAGUGUUGCAAGAGCGAAUACUUGGUCGCUUAGAACAAAACGAAUUACUGUCAUUAGGAUAUGCUCAAAAGUGUGGCGCUAUAUCUUGUAUCUAUUGCUACGUUCAUUCAUUGAUCCAACAGUAUGGGUAUAGAAAGAAGACGAUAAGCAGGAGUUGCGCAAACGAAGUUAUGGAGUUUCUUGCAUGCAUGCAUGUUUUGGCAUAAAGCUGGUACUUCGAAAUAUGCCUAUGAAAUCUCUACCUGCUUUGCACCCUAAAUAUAACGUGUCGUCUUGUAGCUGCAUGUGAAUUACAACGAUUGAUAGAUGAAAAACAAAUCGACUUGUUGCCCAUUUCAUCGUUUCAAACGACUGGUAGUGUUGCUUGUGUCCAUACCCAUGCUGUGUCCAUAUCCAUACUAUGUCCGUGUGUUUUGCUUUAUUACACUUGGUCAAAGAAAUCUAUAUGAUGUUCUUUACGAAACCCACAAAGUCAUUAGGGAUAUCAUUCGAACAGAAGGGUAUGUAUGCAAAAUACACUACAAGGACUAAGCCCAAGCACCGUAUUGUUUCAGUCUCGAAGUAAUUCUAUGUACCCGUGCAUUGGAGAUGCGUUUAAUUAACAUGGUGCGAUUGGACUUGAGUGAGCUGACAGCACUGUAUGAGGGUCUGUUUGCCAAGAUUCAGGACUUGUUGAAAGAGUUAUUACAACUACAACUAUAAUUAUAACUACAACUAUAACUAUAACUGCAACUAUAACUACAACGAUAAGAACUAUCACUACUCUGAAGACAACGAUGUGUUUUCUCAAGAUGAUAACGGAUCUAGCUUCGCCAUCAAUAAGUAUGAGACAAAGGAGUCCAUCUUUGAUGAAACAUCCAUUUGCCUGUUGUACAUUUUUGCAGGACAACCAGCCUGAGCACAAGAGACAUGGUGUACUAGACUUUGUGCGGAAUGUCUACUUCAAAACUUGCAUCUUUAUAUCUGAUAUAUAGAGAUAUAGAGAUAUAGAGAGAGGCUGAUGAUUUAUAAACACAAACGAUAAGACUUGUAACAUGAAGUUUGUCGAAAAAGUCAAUCUUUAAAUUCCUUUCUGAACCUCUCUGUUAUGUCAGUGCUUCGGUAUUAUGCUUUAAUGCAGUCACUUGAGGCGUUGUCCUAAUAGGUGCAAAGUUACCGUAUAUUUAGGUUUCAUGUUUGUGAUUACUGGAGAACGACUGUGAAGAGACCAACCGUAUCGUGUUUUUUCCAAUUGUGAUCUUCCAAUGCUUAAUAAAUACGAAAUCUUAUUUCGAUUUACAGGCUGGGCAUUCACGAAACAUAGCGUUUUUACAUUUCUACAGG